UACGGAGGAUGCAAGCGUUAUCCGGAAUGAUUGGGCGUAAAGCGUCCGCAGGUGGCUAUGAAAGUCUGCUGUUAAAGAGCAAGGCUCAACCUUGUAAAGGCAGUGGAAACUACAUGGCUAGAGUGCGUUCGGGGCAGAGGGAAUUCCUGGUGUAGCGGUGAAAUGCGUAGAGAUCAGGAAGAACACCGGUGGCGAAAGCGCUCUGCUAGGCCGCAACUGACACUGAGGGACGAAAGCUAGGGGAGCGAAUGGG
RNAcentral lists this ribosomal RNA (253 nucleotides) under uncultured prokaryote. RNAcentral describes it as "partial 16S ribosomal RNA". It matches the Rfam family "Bacterial small subunit ribosomal RNA", at positions 524 to 776 of the family's 1533-position model. The record is from RNAcentral.